ACCUGGCUAGCUUAGUCAGUAGAGCAUGGAACUCUUAAUCCCAGGGUUGUGGGUUUGAGCCCCAUGUUGGGCG
Molecule: non-coding RNA, 73 nt
Organism: Erinaceus europaeus (western European hedgehog)
Lineage: Eukaryota; Metazoa; Chordata; Mammalia; Eulipotyphla; Erinaceidae
Source: Rfam